Molecule: ribosomal RNA, 230 nt
Filed under: uncultured bacterium
Lineage: Bacteria
Description: partial 16S ribosomal RNA
Rfam family: Bacterial small subunit ribosomal RNA
Source: RNAcentral
UACGGAGGGUGCAAGCGUUGUCCGGAAUCACUGGGCGUAAAGGGCGCGUAGGCGGCGCGGAUAGUCGGCGGUGAAAGCCCGGAGCUCAACUCCGGGUCGGCCGUCGAUACUUCCGGGCUUGAGCACUGUAGAGGCAGAUGGAAUUCCGGGUGUAGCGGUGGAAUGCGUAGAGAUCCGGAAGAACACCGGUGGCGAAGGCGGUCUGCUGGGCAGUUGCUGACGCUGAUGCG